Long non-coding RNA from Perca fluviatilis (European perch), 896 nucleotides. RefSeq lists it as uncharacterized. Lineage: Eukaryota; Metazoa; Chordata; Actinopteri; Perciformes; Percidae. The transcript has 2 exons. The record is from RefSeq and is a predicted model, not a curated record.
UUGAUUGAAUACGGUAGUUAGUAAGCUAAGUAGCAAACAAUCAAACGCCUCUGUAAGGAUUCUACGAAACUGUGAACGGAGACGUCGCUGGAAAAGAAACUUUGAAAUGAAUUGUAAUACUACAAACAACAGAAAGUCAAUGACAUCAUUUAAAAGACAUAACCGGUAACGUUAGCUAAAUUAGCUAGUUUUCCAGUGUUGCUAGCUAGCUAAUGAUGUAACAUGAUAACUGUUAGCUAGCAGUGAUGGAUACUGUCAACAAACAAACAAAAUGAUUGUCAAAGGAGAAAACGUCUGUCAACAAACAAACAAAAUGACUGUCAAAGCAGCAAGUUGCAGUUGGACAUCAAAGAAAGUGGACAACAACUGACAACAAGAGGAUGAAGAGGACACUGGAGGAGGAGCAGCGGGCGAGGAAAGAGCUGGAGAGGAUUGUCAGGAGAGUUCUGAAGAACAUGAACGACCCAACCUGGGAUGAGACUAACCUCUGAGAUCAAUAUAUAUGUGAUCAUCAUGGACGAGACCAAUUUCUGACUUUAAAGUGACCAAAUGAACUAUGAACUGUUGUUCAACCUCUGUGUGGACAAAAGCUGCCAAUACUUCGUUCAACAUGUCGUCACCAUUUUUACUUGCUUUGACCAGUGUACCAAACUGUGGACCAAGAUAAAAUGUCGGCCAGCCAUCAGCAAAGCCAUCCCAACUGACCGUAAAGCUGUGAAGCCACAUUAGCUGGUAGGCAUGAUGACAUCACUUCCUGUCACUCUCCUUUACUUUUUCAAACAGCCUUUUUGAAACACUGACAAACAAAUCACUUUUCUCAUCUACUUUUGUAAUUAUCUUUCAUUCCUCUUUGUGCUUUUUUUGCAUCAAGUAUGACAUUUAAAAUGUAACCAUUG